CCUACGGGGGGCAGCAGUGAGGAAUAUUGGUCAAUGGACGAGAGUCUGAACCAGCCAAGUAGCGUGAAGGAUGACUGCCCUAUGGGUUGUAAACUUCUUUUAUAUGGGAAUAAAAUGUUCCACGUGUGGGAUUUUGUAUGUACCAUAUGAAUAAGGAUCGGCUAACUCCGUGCCAGCAGCCGCGGUAAUACGGAGGAUCCGAGCGUUAUCCGGAUUUAUUGGGUUUAAAGGGAGCGUAGGUGGAUUGUUAAGUCAGUUGUGAAAGUUUGCGGCUCAACCGUAAAAUUGCAGUUGAAACUGGCAGUCUUGAGUACAGUAGAGGUGGGCGGAAUUCGUGGUGUAGCGGUGAAAUGCUUAGAUAUCACGAAGAACUCCGAUGGCGAAGGCAGUUCACUGGACUGCAACUGACACUGAGGCUCGAAAGUGUGGGUAUCAAACAGGAUUAGAUACCACAGUAGUC
RNAcentral lists this ribosomal RNA (460 nucleotides) under uncultured bacterium. Its description in RNAcentral is "partial 16S ribosomal RNA". It matches the Rfam family "Bacterial small subunit ribosomal RNA", at positions 338 to 795 of the family's 1533-position model. The record is from RNAcentral.